Molecule: ribosomal RNA, 260 nt
Filed under: uncultured bacterium
Lineage: Bacteria
Description: partial 16S ribosomal RNA
Rfam family: Bacterial small subunit ribosomal RNA
Source: RNAcentral
CAAAGGGAAGCGAGACGGCGACGUCAAGCAAAUCCCAGAAAUAACGUCCCAGUUCGGAUUGUAGUCUGCAACCCGACUACAUGAAGCUGGAAUCGCUAGUAAUCGCGGAUCAGAAUGCCGCGGUGAAUACGUUCCCGGGUCUUGUACACACCGCCCGUCACACCAUGGGAGUCGGAAAUGCCCGAAGUCAGUGACCCAACCGUAAGGAGGGAGCUGCCGAAGGUGGAGCCGGUAACUGGGUGAAGUCGUAACAAGGUAUC